This 449-nucleotide ribosomal RNA is filed under the name uncultured bacterium. RNAcentral describes it as "bacterial SSU rRNA". It matches the Rfam family "Bacterial small subunit ribosomal RNA", at positions 62 to 543 of the family's 1533-position model. The record is from RNAcentral.
UCGAACGAGAAAGGGGAGCAAUCCCUGAGUAAAGUGGCGCACGGGUGAGUAACACGUGGGUAAUCUACCCUUGGGUGGGGAAUAACCCUGGGAAACCGGGGCUAAUACCGCAUAAGACCGCAAGGUGAAAGGUGAAAAUCGCCGAAGGAGGAGCCCGCGGCCGACUAGCUAGUUGGUAGGGUAAAGGCCUACCAAGGCUUCGAUCGGUAGCCGGCCUGAGAGGGCACACGGCCACACUGGCACUGAAACACGGGCCAGACUCCUACGGGAGGCAGCAGUGGGGAAUCUUGCACAAUGGGGGAAACCCUGAUGCAGCGACGCCGCGUGAGCGAUGAAGCCCUUCGGGGUGUAAAGCUCUUUCGACCGGAACGAUAAUGACGGUACCGGGAGAAGAAGCUGCGGCUAACUACGUGCCAGCAGCCGCGGUAAUACGUAGGCAGCGAGCGUUG